UGGCUCGGAACGAACGCUGGCGGCGCGUCUUAAGCAUGCAAGUCGAACGGCAAGAGGUAGCAAUACCUCCUAGAGUGGCGGACUGGUGAGUAACACGUGGGUGACAUACCCUUCAGAUGGGGAUAGCUAUUAGAAAUAGUAGAUAAUACCGAAUACGAGCACAGGGGUUAGAGAUCUGUGAGGAAAGGAGCUAAGGCUCCGCUGAAGGAAUGGCCUGCGGCCCAUUAGCUAGUUGGUGAGGUAAGAGCCCACCAAGGCGAUGAUGGGUAUCCGGCCUUAGAGGGUGAACGGACACAUUGGGACUGAGAUACGGCCCAGACUCCUACGGGAGGCAGCAGCUAAGAAUAUUCCGCAAUGGACGAAAGUCUGACGGAGCGACGCCGCGUGGAUGAAGAAGGCCGGAAGGUUGUAAAAUCCUUUUGAAACUGAAGAAUAAGCGUUGUAGGGAAUGACAGCGUGGUGACAGUAGGUUUUGAAUAAGCAACGGCUAAUUACGUGCCAGCCGCCGC
This 509-nucleotide ribosomal RNA is filed under the name uncultured bacterium. RNAcentral describes it as "bacterial SSU rRNA". It matches the Rfam family "Bacterial small subunit ribosomal RNA", at positions 20 to 518 of the family's 1533-position model. The record is from RNAcentral.